UACAGGGGGGGCAAGCGUUGUUCGGAAUUACUGGGCGUAAAGGGCUCGUAGGCGGCCAACUAAGUCCGACGUGAAAUCCCAAAGCUUAACUUUGGAACUGCGUCGGAUACUGGAUGGCUUGAAUCCGGGAGAGGGAUGCAGAAUUCCAGGUGUAGCGGUGAAAUGCGUAGAUAUCUGGAGGAAUACCGGUGGCGAAGGCGGCAUCCUGGACCGGCAUUGACGCUGAGGAGCGAAAGCCAGGGGAGCAAACGGG
This 253-nucleotide ribosomal RNA is filed under the name uncultured bacterium. Its description in RNAcentral is "partial 16S ribosomal RNA". It matches the Rfam family "Bacterial small subunit ribosomal RNA", at positions 524 to 776 of the family's 1533-position model. The record is from RNAcentral.